GCCCGCCCUCCCGCUGGAAUCCCGGGCGGCGCGGCGGCACCGGGACGCGCGGCUCCCCCGGGGCGAGCGAGGGAGCGGCGCUGGCGAGGAGGAGCCGCCGCCUCACGCUGCGGCACCGGCCCGGGCAGCGCAGGUGGCAGUGUAGAAGCCAAGAACAAAAAUUGGCAGAAAUUCUGUUCUGUGUACGAGAAUAUGAAGAGUGUACUCAUGACUAAGCACAGGAACCUGGAAAACCACAGGCUUUAGUCAGGUGAUCCCUGAUGAGUAGCCAGCCCUCCAAGAAGGGACCUCAGCACACAGGUAAGAGAGAAGCUGUGUACUCUUAAUGAAACUGGGGGUCUGGGCAAGAAGGUAAACAGCUCUAACAUUGUUUAAAUAGUUAAAAAAAAAAUCCUGACUUGCUUGGGUGUGUAACACUGAUUGUCUCUUUCAGUGCUGCUACUUCUGCUAUUCAGUCUUGUUCUCAAUUUUUUUUUUUAAUCUGUCUUUAAUUAGAAGCUUUAUUGCAAAAAAAAAAAAGAGAAAAACCGAAUUGUGUGGUGCUAAAUAUAGACCUGGGUAUUGAAUGAAUAUUGCAUUUUGUUACUUUUUGAAUAAAAUAACUUUCCAUAAUGCAAGUGUGUCAAACUAAUAUUUAGAGGGGAAUUCCCAAAUACUUGAACUAUGAGUCAUAAAAAGUUAAAGGACCCGUACAACAGUUCAGGAUAAAAACUCCGUUCAGCCCUGGGUGGCUGCUUUUGUACACGUUGGUAGUAAAAUAUGUCUUAAAAAAACCCCCAAAUAUUCACAGAGCUGAAGCUCUUUAAACUCUGCUGACCACAACCUAAAAGAUAGGUGGCAGAGACAAAACAGAUGACUGGGGUGGAGGAGUGUACAAGUGCUCUUGGUUUCAUGCAUCUUCUCUUUCAUUGUGUCUACCAACCUGGUGAAUAAGUCUUAUGUGCUGAGGGUUCUUCAAAGGGCUCUGACUCCUUAAUUCCUGUUAUAUAAUGUCUUAUCAAGAAAACAGACUCAAAACCAGCAAUAAGUGCACUUACUGUAAAUGAAAGAGAACAGAACAAAAAUUCUUGGUGCGUGUGACAGAUAAAAGUGGGGUUUAACUGGUUUUAUGUCUGGAUAUUGUGCCACGCUAUCGUCUCUUUAAACAUAACUACACAAAAUUUUCUUCCUUACUGUUGUUUUUCCUUACUUGAAGAGCUCAGAUACUCUCUGAAGUUCUGAAUUACUGCUGUUUAAAGACAUGUUCAGAGUUUUUUAAGAUGAAAAAGGCGGGCAAGUGUUCCCAGCUCCCACCUGCAGCUCUGAAAAACUCCUCGCGGUCUAAGGUUGAAAACUUUAUUUUGAAAACCUGUCACACAAAUUUCCAUGUUUUACUGGCAACAUUGUUCCUGCUCACUAAUUUGCAAUAUUUAAACAAAAACCAUUUGAGCCGUACUUUUUUCUAAGAAGCUGGUGCUAUACACAAGAGUAAUAAAGAUGGGUGACUUUCCAAUUUUUUUGUUUGAUUGAAUGAUAUUUCCCCUUUUCUCAUUGUUAAAAUGUCUCUGCUUGUGACUAGCUGGCUGUGGGAUGAUGCUGUUGUCUCAUAACAGCAACUUGUUCUUAGAUGCUCAGAUAUCCUGAGGUUUGAUCUGGAGAAAACCCUGGGAUGGGGCUGUGGGAUAGGUGGAGGAGCGUUUCUCUUGGCUUCAGCAGACCUUUAUCAUGUGCAAGCCUGAGGAAACACCCAGGUUUGAGUGGAAAUCUGGGAGGGUAAUUGCAAAAGCAUGGGAAUCAUCAGGGAGGUUGAGGGUAACAGUGGAUUUAAAGCCAGGAUAAGAGCUAUGAAGUUGAGUUUUGCACUAGAUCGUGGAGCAGACACCACUCUUCAGUUUCAAAUAAUCCUUGGCAACAGAAGGUUUUCAAGACUUGCUUUUCCCUCUUUGUGAGAUAGGAGGAGGAGAAGGUUUCAUGAGGUGAGGAAAGCUUGGUGGAGUGAAACAAUGUCAGUCAAUAAUGGUUUUGGGUGGCAGGGAUUGCUCUGGAGUGGCUCCUCUGCUUGCCAUGAGGGCCAGCAGUGAGGCACUUGGUGUUCAGUGCCCCUCUUCCCAGUAAGAACUGGGAAUUGCAUGGGCUUGGGGCUCUGGAAAAUUAGGCAAUAGCCCUGAAAGUACCCCAGGUUCCUGCACGCCGGGUCCCACAUUGGCUCCAUCUUAAGCAAAGCGAUCUUUUAUGAAUGGAUGCAAAUCUUCUUAAGCUCCCUGCAGUUGUCCUUAGGGCAAUUCCUGGCAGGUGGGCUUGUCCGGUCUGCAGCUGCAGAAAUGCAGGAGCCCGGGCUCAUGUCCUCACACAGGGGUGUUGCUCUGCAGUGAGAGAGGGUCAGGAGUCUGGAACUGGAAUGGCUAAAAACUUUCAGAGGGUAUGAGUGCUCAUUUAUUUUCUUCUCUUUUUUUUUGGUCUUUUUUUCUGUUUGCUUGGUUGGGGUUUUUUUGGUGGUGUUUGUUUUGUUUUGUUUUGUUUGGUCUUGUUGCCAUUUUGGUUUUUUGGGUUUUGUUUGAUUUAUUUCAUGGAGUUUGACCUAUUGAUUAUCUGUGACCACUGGCAUCUUUAAUAAUGUAGACUGUCUAGUUCAAAUAUAUCUCAGAGACAGGAAAUGUUUUAGUUUCAGGUCUAUUUCUGCCUUUUCACUUGCGUUCUUACUGUGUUUUUGUCUGAAGAGAGGGAUUUGUUUGAAAUAUUUCAGGUGCAGUUCCUAGAUUUCCACUUACUGACAUGAGAAUAUCUCUUUCACAUAACUUUUGACUUGUGAUCACUUUAGGUCAUGUUUAUUUAACCCUGGAAAUACCUAAUGAUCAUGAUUCCCUUGAAGAUCAGUAGGAAAAAAUAAAUAACUUGCCCUUCAAAUGAGGAACUGAUUCUGUGUAUAUGGCAUUAUAAAGGAUAACAUCUGCAGCAUUUAAUUUUUCUUAGAGUAAUGGAAGAAGAAUUAAGAGUUUAACAGCUGUACUGAGUAAACUUGC
Long non-coding RNA from Prinia subflava (tawny-flanked prinia), 2999 nucleotides. RefSeq lists it as uncharacterized. The record is from RefSeq and is a predicted model, not a curated record. The transcript has 3 exons. Lineage: Eukaryota; Metazoa; Chordata; Aves; Passeriformes; Cisticolidae.